Molecule: ribosomal RNA, 789 nt
Filed under: uncultured archaeon
Lineage: Archaea
Description: bacterial SSU rRNA
Rfam family: Archaeal small subunit ribosomal RNA
Source: RNAcentral
ACGGCUCAGUAACACGUAGUCAACAUGCCCAGGGGACGUGGAUAACCUCGGGAAACUGAGGAUAAACCGCGAUAGGCCAAGGUUUCUGGAAUGGACGCUGGCUGAAAUCUAUACGGCCCCUGGAUUGGACUGCGGCCGAUCAGGCUGUUGGUGAGGUAAUGGCCCACCAAACCUGUAACCGGUACGGGCUUUGAGAGAAGGAGCCCGGAGAUGGGCACUGAGACAAGGGCCCAGGCCCUAUGGGGCGCAGCAGGCGCGAAAAUUCUGCAAUAGGCGAAAGCUUGACAGAGUUACUCUGAGUGAUGCCCGCUAAGGGCAUCUUUUGGCACCUCUAAAAAUGGUGCAGAAUAAGGGGUGGGCAAGUCUGGUGUCAGCCGCCGCGGUAAUACCAGCACCCCGAGUGGUCGGGACGAUUAUUGGGCCUAAAGCAUCCGUAGCUUGUUCUGCAAGUCUUCCGUUAAAUCCACCUGCUCAACAGAUGGGCUGCGGAGGAUACUACAGGGCUAGGAGGCGGGAGAGGCAAGCGGUACUCAGUGGGUAGGGGUAAAAUCCUCUGAUCCACUGAAGACCACCAGUGGCGAAGGCGGCUUGCCAGAACGCGCUCGACGGUGAGGGAUGAAAGCUGGGGGAGCAAACCGGAUUAGAUACCCGGGUAGUCCCAGCUGUAAACGAUGCAGACUCGUGAUGGGGUUUGGCUUUGCGCCAACCCAGUGCCGCAGGAAAGCCGUUAAGUCUGCCGCCUGGGGAGUACGGUCGCAAGACUGAAACUUAAAGGAAUUGGCGGGGGAG